RNAcentral lists this ribosomal RNA (450 nucleotides) under uncultured eukaryote. RNAcentral describes it as "eukaryotic LSU rRNA". It matches the Rfam family "Eukaryotic large subunit ribosomal RNA", at positions 435 to 925 of the family's 3401-position model. The record is from RNAcentral.
AGGAGUAUCUAACAGAGCUUACUUUUACAUGAGAUCGUGCACGGCCGUUCGCAGAGACUGGACAGAAUGAGAUCGACCUGGAAGAAUAAGGCGGAGCGUGUAUUCGUGAGCCAAAAGUUUCAGAUUGUUCUGAGGGAUCUUAGGAUGAUUCUGUCAAAAUGGCUUCUACUGACCCGUCUUGAAACACGGACCAAGGAGUCUACCUAUUAUGCGAGUGUGAGGGUGUAAAAGCCUGAACGCGUACCGAAAGGGAGUAUAAGAUGUGAGAUGUCAAAGUUGCAACAUCGACCAUUCCUGAACCUCCGGUGAAGGAUAUGAGUAAGAGCAUAAUCGGUAGGACCCGAAAGAUGGUGAACUACACUUGAGUAGGGUGAAGCCAGGGGAAACUCUGGUGGAGGCUCGUAGCGUUACUGACGUGCAAAUCGUUCGUCAAACUUGCGUGUAGGGGAG